RNAcentral lists this long non-coding RNA (515 nucleotides) under Homo sapiens (human). RNAcentral describes it as "HSALNT0083652". Lineage: Eukaryota; Metazoa; Chordata; Mammalia; Primates; Hominidae. The record is from RNAcentral.
AAGAGUCUGUAAGAGCAACUAAUGGAUUUGAUCAGCCAGCUCUGCCUAGCCAGAAAUAGCAGUGGAUUGCACUGGUCGAAACACUGCCAGCUUGAACUAAAGGGAAUAUCUACUUUAUGCCUAUCCCAUCGUAUUUUGGAAGCACACUUGGGAUUCACAGAUAAAAGGAAAUUUUGCCACAGGAUCAAUUAUACCUCACAUCACACCCAUAUCUGGGACUUAGAUGAUAUUUAGAUAAAAGUAAAUUUUAGGCUUUAAAGUUGAUGCUGGAACAAGUUAACUGGGAGCUGUUGGAAUCAAAUAAAUGUAUUUUGUGUAUUUGAAGGGCAUAAAUUUUGGGGGACCAAGGACAAAAUGUUGGGGUCUCAAUAAUCGUGUCCUCCCUAAAUUUAUGUGUUGAAGCACUAAACCCAUAGUAUGGCUGUAUGUGGGAGUGAAGUCUUUAAGGAAGUAAUUAAGGUUAAAUGAGGUCAUCUGCGUGAGGCCCUGAUCUGACAGAAUUGGUGUCCUUGUAG